Molecule: ribosomal RNA, 432 nt
Filed under: Escherichia coli B102
Lineage: Bacteria; Pseudomonadati; Pseudomonadota; Gammaproteobacteria; Enterobacterales; Enterobacteriaceae
Description: partial 23S ribosomal RNA
Source: RNAcentral
UAUACCGAUUGGGAGCAGGUGGCGAAUUUCGCCCGAGAAAUCGCCCAUUUAACCGACAAACCGACGCUGAAAUAAGCAUAAAGAAUAAAAAAUGCGCGGUCAGAAAAUUAUUUUAAAUUUCCCCUUGUCAGGCCGGAAUAACUCCCUAUAAUGCGCCACCACUGACACGGAACAACGGCAAACACGCCGCCGGGUCAGCGGGAUUCUCCUGAGAAUUCCGGCAGAGAAAGCAAAAAUAAAUGCUUGACUCUGUAGCGGGAAAGCGUAAUAUACGCCACCUCGCGACAGUGAGCUGAAAGCCGCGUCGCAACUGCUCUUUAACAAUUUAUCAGACAAUCUGUGUGGGCACUCGAAGAUACGGAUUCUUAACGUCGCAAGACGAAAAAUGAAUACCAAGUCUCAAGAGUGAACACGUAAUUCAUUACGAAGUUU